CCUACGAGUGGCAGCAGUGGGGAAUAUUGCACAAUGGGGGAAACCCUGAUGCAGCGACGCCGCGUGAGUGAAGAAGGAAUUCGUUACGUAAAGCUCUAUCAGCAGGGAAGAAAAUGACGGUACCUGAGUAAGAAGCCACGGCUAACUACGUGCCAGCAGCCGCGGUAAUACGUAGGUGGCAAGCGUUCUCCGGAAUGACUGGGCGUAAAGGGUGCGUAGGUGGGUUAGUAAGUUGGCUGUGUAAUUCCGGGGCUCAACCUCGGCGCUACCGCCAAAACUAUUAGACUAGAGUGCAGGAGGGGUAAGUGGAAUUCCUGGUGUAGCGGUGGAAGGCGUAGAUAUUAGGCGGAACAUCAGGGGCGAAGGCGACUUACUGGACUGUAACUGACACUGAGGCACGAAAGCGUGGGGAGCAAACAGGAUUAGAUACCCUGGUAGUC
RNAcentral lists this ribosomal RNA (440 nucleotides) under uncultured bacterium. RNAcentral's name for it is "partial 16S ribosomal RNA". It matches the Rfam family "Bacterial small subunit ribosomal RNA", at positions 338 to 795 of the family's 1533-position model. The record is from RNAcentral.